Molecule: long non-coding RNA, 740 nt
Filed under: Mytilus galloprovincialis (Mediterranean mussel)
Lineage: Eukaryota; Metazoa; Mollusca; Bivalvia; Mytilida; Mytilidae
Source: RNAcentral
UUUUAUUAUUGGAUGUAUUUACUUGAAAUUUGGAAUCAAGCAAGAUGAGAACUUAUAUUUAAUGAAUAAAUUUGAAAAAAAAUAAAAAAAUAUUUAUAAGAGUUAGAAAACUUGACCUGACCCACUUGACUUUGAAACUACUAAUGUCCUGACCGAUAUGAAACAGCUAAAAAAUGUUUUAUUAUUGACAGGAUAGACUUCAAAUUCGAUACCAAGGAAGAAUAAAAUAUUUAACACAAAAAUAUAAGAAAAAAAAAGAAAAAAAAUAUUUUCAAGAGUUAGAAAACUUGACCUGACCAACUACGUCUUUCCCAUGACUAAUGUCCUGACCGCUGUAAAAUGCCUAUAACUUUUUUUAUUCUUAAAAGGACCGAUUUCAAAUUCGAUGUCAAUGAAGAUUAUAAUACUAAAUAUAUAGAUACAAGAAAACGAUUUAAAAAAUAAAUAAUUUAAAGAGUAAAAAACUUGACCUGACCAUCGUCGACUCUGCUCUGACUAAUGUCAUGACCGAUGCAGAAAAUGUUAAUAACUUUUUAUUAUUGAAAAAAAAAUGACUUAAGUUCCUUAUCAAGAAAGAUGAUAGCAUUAAAUAUAGGACUUUAUGAGAGAAAAAAUGUUUUUUAAUUUUUAAAAUUUAAAAAAACUUGACCUGACCAACUUGCCCACCAACUUGAUCUUUGUCCUGAUGAGUGUCCUGACCGUUAUAAAAAUGCCAAUAACCUUUUUGUUAUUUGUUGGGA